GAGGUUAAGCGACUAAGCGUACACGGUGGAUGCCCUGGCAGUCAGAGGCGAUGAAGGACGUGCUAAUCUGCGAUAAGCGCCGGUAAGGUGAUAUGAACCGUUAUAACCGGCGAUUUCCGAAUGGGGAAACCCAGUGUGACUCGUCACACUAUCAUUAACUGAAUCCAUAGGUUAAUGAGGCGAACCGGGGGAACUGAAACAUCUAAGUACCCCGAGGAAAAGAAAUCAACCGAGAUUCCCCCAGUAGCGGCGAGCGAACGGGGAGGAGCCCAGAGCCUGAAUCAGCAUGUGUGUUAGUGGAAGCGUCUGGAAAGGCGCGCGAUACAGGGUGACAGCCCCGUACACAAAAGCGCAUGUGCUGUGAGCUCGAUGAGUAGGGCGGGACACGUGGUAUCCUGUCUGAAUAUGGGGGGACCAUCCUCCAAGGCUAAAUACUCCUGACUGACCGAUAGUGAACCAGUACCGUGAGGGAAAGGCGAAAAGAACCCCGGCGAGGGGAGUGAAAAAGAACCUGAAACCGUGUACGUACAAGCAGUGGGAGCACCCUUUGGGGUGUGACUGCGUACCUUUUGUAUAAUGGGUCAGCGACUUAUAUUCUGUAGCAAGGUUAACCGAAUAGGGGAGCCGGAGGGAAACCGAGUCUUAAUUGGGCGUUAAGUUGCAGGGU
Molecule: ribosomal RNA, 667 nt
Filed under: Salmonella enterica subsp. enterica serovar Javiana
Lineage: Bacteria; Pseudomonadati; Pseudomonadota; Gammaproteobacteria; Enterobacterales; Enterobacteriaceae
Description: partial 23S ribosomal RNA
Rfam family: Bacterial large subunit ribosomal RNA
Source: RNAcentral